Molecule: ribosomal RNA, 459 nt
Filed under: uncultured bacterium
Lineage: Bacteria
Description: partial 16S ribosomal RNA
Rfam family: Bacterial small subunit ribosomal RNA
Source: RNAcentral
CCUACGGGGGGCAGCAGUGAGGAAUAUUGGUCAAUGGGCGGAAGCCUGAACCAGCCAAGUAGCGUGCGGGAUGAAGGCCCUACGGGUCGUAAACCGCUUUUGCACGGGGAUAACACCCUCCACUUGUGGAGGUCUGCCGGUACCGUGCGACUAAGGGCCGGCAAAUUCCGUGCCUGCAGCCGCGGUAAUACGGACGGCCCGAGCGUUAUCCGGUUUCAUUGGGCUUAAAGGGAGCGUAGGCGGGCGUUCAAGUCAGCUGUAAUAUCGCGCGGCGCAACCGCGCCCCGCAGUUGCAACUGGACGCCUUGAGUUCACAACAGGCAGGAGGAAUUCGUGGUGUAGCGGUGAAAUGCAUAGAUAUCACGAGGAACCCCGAUUGCGAAGGCAGCCUGCCGUGGUGCGACUGACGCUGAGGCUCGAAGGUGCGGGUAUCAAACAGGAUUAGAUACCCGGGUAGUC